GCGCCUCUGGGACUGUCUACAUUCUGCUGGCUCAGUCACUAGCCAGCGUUUGCAGUGGGAAGGCGCUGGUUCCACACCUAGACAGAGGUGUUCAGUCAGGGUGCUCAGAGGAAGGCACAAGGGAGUCCCAUGGUCUCAAGGGCAGCGGUGCCUUGACUGAGCCUUACUUUCAUCCCUGUGAUCGCCCCAUCUACACGUCCUGUCAGCUCUAGCAGGGAUGUUCAUGCUGUAUGUGGGCGCUGUUUUGAUAGGAGAUGUAUGGUGGAAAACUUCUCAUCUAAUAGAGACAACAGGUGCUUUAAAAUAUUAAACCUGCCAUGACAGUAGCAAUGUUCUUCUUUCAACUUACCUCAUGGCAAACUAGAAGCCUUGCUGAAGGAACGUCUGCCCAAAAGCAGGGCAGCGGUGUUGACUCACCCUGCACUCUCCUCAAGCUGUGUUCUCCAGGCUUUCCUGGGUCUGGCACACCAGGGUGAAUGCAGGGAACUCUGGACUGGGUCCUCUGGGCACUCAAACCCUUACAGGCCUAGCUGGAGGUGUGCUCAGCCUUCCUCCCAUGAUGGACACCUUGUAAUAUCUGCCUUCAAGAGUGCGUUUGGUGAACAAAAUGUCUUCCAUGGAGUCUUAAACAAAACAAAAACCACGCCUGUGUUUUAAUCUUUAAAAAAAAACAAAAAA
Molecule: long non-coding RNA, 678 nt
Filed under: Rattus norvegicus (Norway rat)
Lineage: Eukaryota; Metazoa; Chordata; Mammalia; Rodentia; Muridae
Description: long non-coding RNA NONRATT012449
Source: RNAcentral